GGAAAAGGAAAAUAAAACAAUCGUGAUUCCGUGAGUAGUGGUGAACGAAAAUGGAAAAGCUUUAAACCUAAAAGUUUAAUAGUUCUAAGAAUACCUAAGUUUAAAACCAAAGAAGGUUCCUGACCUGUUUAAACAAGGUUCUUAAAGCUAAAAAGUAGAACGCUUAUGUUUGAAAAUGGUGAUUCAUUCAUCAAAAGCUAAAUAUUACUUUACAUCGAUAGAGAAUAGUACUGUGAAGGAAAUUUGAAAUAUAGAAAAAAUUGAAAAAAUAUUUAAACCCGGUGCUAAAUUAGCUGAAGGAGCUUAAAAAGUGACUUCGUACUUUUUGUAUAACGGACUGAGGAAAACUUCUAUUUAGUUUCUAGGUUAACCCUCGAGGGAAAGCCCUAUGAAAAAAGUAAAAUUAAGUAGUUCCCGAAACCUGAUGAUCUUUCCAUUCUCAGUUUGAAGCUUUUUUAAUUAAAAGUGGAGGAGCGAACCCGUUGAUGUUGCAAUAUCAUGGGAUGAAGGGUGGAAAGCGGUGAAAUGCCAAUCGAAUUGGGUCAUAGCUGGUUUUCUGCGAAAUGUAUUUAGGUACAGCGUAAAAAUGUUCUAGAAUAAGGUAAAACACUGAUUUGUGUCAGGGGGCGUAAAAGCUUACCGGCACUUGUUAAAUUCUAAAUAUAUUCUAGUANCUUUUUGCAGUGAGAAAUUUCAUGAUAAGGUGAAAUUUCGAGAGAGAAACAACUCACAAUCAAAACUAAGGCCAUUAAAAGAAUUUAAGUAUGAAAGAUUAGUGAAAAACUUUAGUCGGAUUCGAAGUGGGCUUAGAAAUAGCCAUCUUUUAAAGAAAAUGUAAUAAUUCAGUCUAAAAGUAAGUUUUUUGCGUCGAAAAUUUAGGUGGUUAAAUAUCUUGCCAAAGUUUGAUAAUAGGUAGCAGAACGUGUUGUAAUUUAUAAAAUUAGAAAUAAUAUAUCAACAGUGAUUAUCUCAGUAUGAGUAACAUAAAAGAGUAUAAAACUCUUUUCCCGAAAUCUUAUUAGUUCCAAUCGUGAGGAUAAACUCGGUUGGGUUAUUUAACCUGCCUCUAAGUUUACGGCUAAAGCCUAUAACGAUGAGAAACUGUGAUGGGACGAAAGAUAGCUUUAAAAUCUUUCCGCGAAAAUCAUCAGUAAAUUAACAGUAUUAAAUCUGACACAAGUAAGAAGGUAGAAAAUACCAAGGGAAUCUCAGAACUCCGGUUAAGGAACUCGGCAAAAUGUUCCAGUACGUUCGCAAUAAUGGAAGUUUAAUUUUUUGUCUAGCGAUAAUCAAAAAAUUAAANGGCACAGAAUAGUUAGGAUGAACUGUUUACCAAAAACACAGUCUAUCGCGACCUGUAAUUAGUUUGUAUGAUAGAUGAAGCCUGACCAAUGUUAAUUUGAUAAAAUCUUUCCUUCACGGGAAAGGUAUAACGAUUAAUCAAUGUCCGCCGUAACCAUGACGGUGCUAAGGUAGCGUAAUAAAUAGACAUUUAAUUUGUGUCAAGUAUGAAUGGCUUAAUCGAUUCUAAGCUGUCUCAACCGGAGAGAGAGUGAAUUUGAAGUUGCGGUUAAGAUGCCGUAUAGGAGUAUGAAGACAAGAAGACCCCAGCCGCUUUACUGUAAGGUAAUAUUGGAAAAGGUUUCAAGUUGUAUAGGAUAAGUAGUAAUUGUUUCAAGCCCUUGGAAUACUACUCGCUUGAAAACUUUUUCUAACCCUUUGACAAAAAGGGAACAGUGUUACCUGGGCAGUUUUAUUGGGGCGAUAGCGUUCUAAAAAGUAACGAACGUUCGCAAUAGGAGGGCUCUGAUUCGUUAGAACCGAAAUCAUUGAGCGUAAAAGCAAAUGCCCUCUUGAAUAACUAUCCGAUAGGAUUAUUAUGGCUUAACGGCUGCUUUAUUGAACUGGAGAAAUAAUAUGAAACAAUCUCCAAUAAUAAGCUAAGUCACGCUGGGGAUAACAGUGUAAUAAGAGCUGAGCGUACCUAGCGACGUUCUUGUUUGCCACCUCGAUGUUGAAUCGGCCCAGCUCGGUGGUUGCAACAGCUGCCAAGAGUUAGACUGUUCGUCUAUUAAAGGGCCACGUGAUUUGAGUUCAAAACGUCGUAAGACAGUUUGGUUUAUAUCUCAUACUUCCGAAGAUAAAAGGCUAUAGUUUUCCUUAGUACGAAAGGACUGGGAAGACGGAACCUCUGGUGAACUAUUAUGAAUGAUUUCGUAUGUAGUUUAGCUACGUUCUGGGGAAUAACUGCUGAAAGCAUCUAAAGCAGGAAGUCUUCGCCUAGAAUCUAUAAUUUGCUUAGUCAAAGAACAUGACUUAAAUAGGGGAANAGUGAACAAGCAGAUUCCUACUAAAUAGCAAA
This 2362-nucleotide ribosomal RNA is filed under the name metagenome. RNAcentral describes it as "bacterial LSU rRNA". It matches the Rfam family "Bacterial large subunit ribosomal RNA". The record is from RNAcentral.